GACGAACGCUGGCGGCGUGCUUAACACAUGCAAGUCGAACGAUGAAGUUCCUUCGGGAAUGGAUUAGUGGCGAACGGGUGAGAAACACGUGAGAAACCUGCCUUUCAUUUUGGGAUAACUCCGGGAAACCGGAGCUAACACCGAAUACUCCGUCUCGGCGGCAUCGCUGAGCCGGGAAAAAAUUUUGAUGAAAGAUGGUCUCGCGGCCUAUCAGCUAGUUGGUGAGGUAAUGGCUCACCAAGGCGACGACGGGUAGCCGGCCUGAGAGGGCGACCGGCCACACUGGGACGGAGACACGGCCCAGACUCCUACGGGAGGCAGCAGUGGGGAAUAUUGGGCAAUGGGCGCAAGCCUGACCCAGCGACGCCGCGUGAGGGAUGAAGGCCUUCGGGUUGUAAACCUCUUUCAGUAGGGAAGAAGCGAAAGGGACGGUACCUAAAGAAGAAGCACCGGCUAACUAUGUGCCAGCCGCCGCCGUAA
This 480-nucleotide ribosomal RNA is filed under the name uncultured bacterium. RNAcentral describes it as "partial 16S ribosomal RNA". It matches the Rfam family "Bacterial small subunit ribosomal RNA", at positions 28 to 523 of the family's 1533-position model. The record is from RNAcentral.